Molecule: ribosomal RNA, 182 nt
Filed under: Cyclospora cayetanensis
Lineage: Eukaryota; Apicomplexa; Conoidasida; Eucoccidiorida; Eimeriidae
Description: partial large subunit ribosomal RNA
Source: RNAcentral
UGCCAAACUAUUCAAACAAUCUUCUCACUUUCUUAUUAAUGGAAGCGCUGGUACCUGGGUAUCCAAUCCAGUGCUCCUCAUUCGGCAUAGAGACUCAGCCUCAGUCCAACUUUGUACUGUUUUUUACCAAAAGGGACUCCAGAAGUUAAACUGUAGAGUCGAGAUGGAAACAACCGGAAAGG